This 447-nucleotide ribosomal RNA is filed under the name uncultured organism. RNAcentral's name for it is "partial 16S ribosomal RNA". It matches the Rfam family "Bacterial small subunit ribosomal RNA", at positions 334 to 797 of the family's 1533-position model. The record is from RNAcentral.
CACUCCUGCGGGAGGCAGCAGUGGGGAAUAUUGGACAAUGGGCGCAAGCCUGAUCCAGCCAUGCCGCGUGAGUGAUGAAGGCCCUAGGGUUGUAAAGCUCUUUCACCGGAGAAGAUAAUGACGGUAUCCGGAGAAGAAGCCCCGGCUAACUUCGUGCCAGCAGCCGCGGUAAUACGAAGGGGGCUAGCGUUGUUCGGAAUUACUGGGCGUAAAGCGCACGUAGGCGGAUCGAUCAGUCAGGGGUGAAAUCCCAGGGCUCAACCCUGGAACUGCCUUUGAUACUGUCGAUCUGGAGUAUGGAAGAGGUGAGUGGAAUUCCGAGUGUAGAGGUGAAAUUCGUAGAUAUUCGGAGGAACACCAGUGGCGAAGGCGGCUCACUGGUCCAUUACUGACGCUGAGGUGCGAAAGCGUGGGGAGCAAACAGGAUUAGAAACCCGGGUAGUCCCA